RNAcentral lists this long non-coding RNA (3829 nucleotides) under Gouania willdenowi (blunt-snouted clingfish). RNAcentral describes it as "lncRNA (ENSGWIG00000023141.1)". Lineage: Eukaryota; Metazoa; Chordata; Actinopteri; Blenniiformes; Gobiesocidae. The record is from RNAcentral.
GAACGUAUGCCACAAUCUGUGGCAGACAUUCAGCCCAAAGCCCAGGAUCUCCAGGCUUUGAUCAGAGAAGCCACUUUGGUUUUCAAAGAACCUGUGGAAGCAGUGGCAGGUCCUUUACGCACCUACAGAAAAAGACUACAGUUCUUGAUGAUGAGGAUAGGAGAAGUGAAUCUAGAUGAUCUGGCUCCUUCCCGCGAAUGCACACAUGACCAAUUACAGAACCUGAAGACAGCAGUACCUGAAGUAAAAGCCAUGGCACUUUAAGAGACUUCUUUCAAGAACUGCUAUAGGUAUUGAACUCCUGUAUGUGUGUUAGCUCAGUCUCCAUUUUGUUGUUUUUGCAAGGUGAUGCAGAGGUUGUUUGAGGCAGAGCAAGUGUGCGCUGAGUUGCAGCAUAGUGUGUCUGGACUGGACAGUCGACUUGCCGAGCUCCUACACUGGGAGACUGAUGCCAGGGAGCUCUACCAAAUGCUAAGGUCAACAGAUCGACAGCGGAAACAGAAGGAUCAGGAUCCAAGGGCUAAGGUCACUUGAUACCCAGUUAGACAAAUAUUUUUGUUUGUGGAAUUUUAGAAUAAAACCCUUAAAAACUCUUUGUGGGGCUCUGUAGGCAUGCAUAUCCAGUGGUCUACAGCUGGAGGGUCAGGUUGUCAUGGAGGAGCAGGAUCUGCAAGUAACGGUGAUGUCUAGUCAGAUGAGCUCUCCCAUUGAGUACCUCCACGCCACCGCCAUGCAGGACCGAGUACGAGCUGCUGUUGCUCAGUCACAGGCAAGUUAAAUCUGGGUUUGUCCAAAUAUCAAUGUAAAUAUUUUAUUUCUAAAUAGUUUACUUGACAUUUUAGGAAGCAGUUGGCAUGCUAAGCAGCCUGGGCUCAAGAAGAGAUCGAAGUAGAAGCCCUCCAGAAGCUUCUCCUCCUGCAAAAGUUUUUGUUCAGGAUAAAGAAACGCCUCAACCUCUGACCAAAGCUGGUGAAAUCUUUGUGCCAAGGAUAGUGGUGCAGGAUUACCGUGGGGAAAAGGCCAUUUCACCGGUUUCUCCCACAAUGCCGUAUUCGUAUGCCCAGGCUGUGAUACAGAGCAAACCAAAGUCGCCACCAGAAAAUCAGACACAGGAAAGCUUCGAGGCUCAGGAACAAAGACCGGUGCCGCAGCAACAGAUAACACUGACUGCAGAAAAGGAUGUAAGGCAGCAGCAGAAAGACGUCAAGGCAGAGCAAACACAAGAGGUGCAAAUGCCCAAAGAAACACUAACCUCACAACCACAGAUGGACAAGCAGCAUCAUGUAGUAGAGAGUGUACAAACGGAAAUAAAAGAGACACCUAAUGUCUCAGAGAAAACUUCCAUCCAGCAACCAGCUGAAAUAAGAAAACCCAUGAACUCAGAGGAGCUCCAAAUAAGGAAGAACCAGGCUAUGAAGAACCGUCCCUGGCUUCAGAAACCAGCCUCUGGGGAAGUGAAAGGUUCUGCACCAGAUCCCGAACAAGUGUCUCCUCAGGAUGCAGUUCAGACUCCACAGAUACAAACACCAACUGGUUUAAAUCUAGGAGAAACAGUUCAAGGUGUGUCACAAGAUACCCCUAAAGCCAGGACACACCCAGAGACACCUGUUAAAAUGACACAACAAACAGAGCAGCAAGAAAAAGACACUCUGAAAUUUGAAAAGCAGCCACACCCACAAAAACACCGUAUACAGCCAGAACAGCAAAAGGGACAAAAACGUGUUAAACCCAGCAUUGUAGCUGCAACGCAAGCUCAAAAACCAUCUCUGACCGCGACCCAGACUCUAUCCAGAGGGGAAGGCAAAGCACCAAUGAUUCAUCAAGCUACUCCAGAGGGCACCAAAUCACAGUCGCAAAGUAUUUUGACACAACAGCUUCAACCCCAAGCUCAGCCUCAACCAGUGCGCUUUCCAGUGGGACCCCAGCCAUCUGUUGAACAACAGAGUCAAGCCCAUGGACCUGCUGUUGCUCAAGUCAGGGCUCUCUCCCCGAUGCAGCCUCUGAUUCCAGGCCAAAUGCAAGUUCCUGUGCCAUCCCACAUUCAGGUCCGUACUCAUCCACAGGCUUGGGCACCUGUAAGGUCCCCCUCCCCUAAACCACAGACACAAGCACAACCUCCAACUCAUGGUCAACCUGUGGUUCAGGCACACAAACCGUCAUUUGGGCAGUCACAAAUGCACCCUCAGUCAACAGCCCAGAUCCGAGCCACUCCUCAGUCCAUGGCUUAUCCUCAGCCCCAGGCUCAACCAAUGUGUAGGCCAAGUCCAACCCAACCUCAGACCUUAUACCCAACCUAUCCCCAACAAUCGAUACAACCUCAGGAUACGUUACCCCCUGUCUCCCAGUAUCCCUCUUAUGUUCAGCCUAUCCAACAACCACAAGGUACGGCACAACCGCACCUGUAUCCCCAGGGUCAGUCUCCAUCACAGCAGUGGAUGGAAAAAGGCCAACAACUCAUUGUACAGCAAAGACCCCCAAUGCCUCAACAACAAAUCGGUCAAUCGCCAAACUCUCAGUUCUAUCAACAGGUUCAGACUCCCCCCCAGUGGGCCCAGCAAGGGCCACAUGUUAGACCCCAAGGGAUUUCUCCAAUGGGUCAGGUAUAUAAUCAGCCUCAAAUUCAACCCCAACCCUGGAAUCAAAUGCAAGCCCAGAAAAAUCAAGUACAGCCACAGGCCUGGGUUCAGGCACCUCCACAGCCAUACAUACCAGUUCAGCAACAAUCUCCAAUACACACUGGGAUACCUCCUCAAUCACAGACUCCACAGCAAGCCCAGUCUCAGCACCCUUCAAGAAGCAAACUCCAGACACAGCCACUCGCACCAGCACAGUUCCAGCAGCCUGCACCACAAACCAGGCAAGAACCUUGUCCUCUGACCCAGCCAGUGCCUCAAGUUCAUGGUCAAGCACCAAUUCAACCAAAAGCUCAGCCAUUUUUCCAAAAGAAAUCAGAAUCAGUGCCGCAGUCCAAACUGCAACCCAGGGCCCAGUCACCAGUCAAAGUCGAAGCACAACCAAAGCUGCAGGCCCAACCCAAAGUUCAGGCACAAACACCAGCACAGGUUCAGGCUCAGAUGCCCCCUCUUCCUCAAGCCCAAACAACUUCCCAAUCAAAGGUGCAGACACCUGCACAAACUGGACCUCAACAAACUCAGAACAUUCAGGCUUCUCAGGUUUUGCCUCAGGUUGAGUCACCUGAUUUGUGCAUGACACCUCCCGUUCUGGCCCAAGCUCCGCCACAGACCUAUACAGAGGCCUACACCAAGGCUCAGGCUUUGGCUAGGAAUGGCUUUGAGGAGGCUAAGCACUGCCUGCAGGCGCACAUCCUUGAUGCCAUCACUGUUCUGAAAGACAAACCUGCGACAGCAGAUCAAUGGUUGGAGAAAGAGGAGACCCUGACAACUUUGGAUGCAGAGCUGCUGGAGGAGUUUCUUAGAGCCGCUAAAGGCAUGGAGGCCUUUUGUACGACGUCACAGCUCAGAGACAUGGAGUUCUUCACCCAGUCUGUCACAGCGCAAUGGGAGGCCUGCUUUUCCAGAGACUAUUCCGAAGCAGAGUACCACCUGGAGGCCUUGAAGGAGCUGUGCGACACCCUGAGCCCCGAGGACGCUCACCGGCUUGCUCAAACUCAGCUGAGGGAGUGUGAGAAAAGGUUGGCCGCCAUCCAGCGCCAGUUCAGUGGAGACCAGGACGCAGCCAUCUCGGAUUCAAGGAUUUCUCUGGCCUUCAGUGAAGAUCUGUCUGCCCAAAAAUAUCCCACCACCAGCUCCACUCAGGUGAUGGUGAAACCAGUCAUCAUAGAGAAAAAGGAGGCUGAGAAACAACAUUC